CCCUUAGAUGUCCUGGGCUGCACGCGCGCUACACUGGAAGUUACGGAUUGAGAUACUACCUUGUCCGAAAUGGUCCGGGUAAUCACCUAAAAGCUUGUCAUAAUUGGAAUGGAUUAUUGUAACUAGUAAUCCUGAACGAGGAAUUCCUAGUAAGUCCCAGUCAACAGCUGGUACUGAUUACGUCCCUGCCCUUUGUACACACCGCUCGUCGCUACUACUGAUUGGACGUUUAAGCAAGAUUUUUAAACACUGACAGUGUGUAGUUCACGCUAUACUACAGUGAGAAGAAGAAGAUCGAGCUUACUUGUCUAGAGGAAGUAAAAGUCGUAACA
Molecule: ribosomal RNA, 332 nt
Filed under: uncultured eukaryote
Lineage: Eukaryota
Description: partial 18S ribosomal RNA
Rfam family: Eukaryotic small subunit ribosomal RNA
Source: RNAcentral